GAGGCGUACCGGGGGAACUGAACCAUCUAAGUACCCCGAGGAAAAGAAAUCAACCGAGAUUCCGAAAGUAGCGGCGAGCGAAAUUGGACUAGCCCUUAAGCUUUACACGCGUUAGACGAACGGGCUGGAAAGUCCGACGAUACAGGGUGAUAGUCCCGUAGUUGACGACGUGUGUUCAGUGAAAUCGAGUAGGGCGGGACACGUGAUAUCCUGUCUGAAUAUGGGGGGACCAUCCUCCAAGGCUAAAUACU
RNAcentral lists this ribosomal RNA (251 nucleotides) under Vibrio parahaemolyticus. Its description in RNAcentral is "partial 23S ribosomal RNA". It matches the Rfam family "Bacterial large subunit ribosomal RNA", at positions 176 to 474 of the family's 2925-position model. Lineage: Bacteria; Pseudomonadati; Pseudomonadota; Gammaproteobacteria; Vibrionales; Vibrionaceae. The record is from RNAcentral.